Alosa sapidissima (American shad) is the source of this 1292-nucleotide long non-coding RNA. RefSeq lists it as uncharacterized. The record is from RefSeq and is a predicted model, not a curated record. The transcript has 3 exons. Lineage: Eukaryota; Metazoa; Chordata; Actinopteri; Clupeiformes; Clupeidae.
GAGGCAGAAGAGAGAGAGGAGAGUGCCAUGGAGGCAGGAGAGGAAGGGACUGCAACUGCCAUGGUCCACCAGUUACUUAUUGUUGGCCAGAGACGCAAGAAAUCAAAGUGCAAUGUCCAUACCAAUUUGGAAGUUUUUCCAAUAAAAAAACUGGGAAAAGAAAGGACCAGAAAGGUUAGUUUACAAGCAGAAUAAGGGGACUUCAGAUCACCUAAAAUGGAAAUGCAAAGCAACUCAACUUCUACUAGAGUACACAGACAUUAGCCCAGAAUACACAAGCCAUUCAGACGUACUAGGGAUGGCCAAGAAAUGACAAAAAACUCAUCUCAUCAUUAGGUACAUUCGGACCCAAUGGUUCUAAGAACAUAGUUGCACUUAUUACUAACUGGAUAAUUAGAAAUGAUUUCCUCCUGGUAGCUGAUGAAACAAAGCAUAUGCCAUAGUCUGACAUGGGUAAACCAAUGGUGUAGAUGACACCGCAGGUUUUUAUUUAAAAGAGAUAAUGGCUACUAAAAUAUAAUACAUAUUAUUUUAUUGCAUUUGUAUUAGUUGUAAAAACAUAUUUGGUUGGUCUUAACGUAAGUUUACAACCGGGAGUAAAAGAAAAAAUAUUUGGGUCGUUAUUUUCAAGGAUGGCCCUAGUAGCCCAAUCAUUACAUGAACAUGAAUGAAUGAAACGGACAGCAUUUAGUUACUAGCUACUGAAGUGUAUUGACUAGAAGUGCAUGGUAUACCAAGGCAUAGAAAAAGAAUCAGCAUUGUUAAUAAAAUAUGUUCUCAAAUUUAAGCAGAAGCUGCAUUAUUUUUACAGAUAUUUUUAAAUGCUGCUUUGGCAUGCACAUCAGUCAAGAUAAAAGACCCCAACCCCAAAGUAUGGGCACAAACAGUUAUAGGAACAUAUAGCGGUCAGAGGAACUCUUUAAUUCCCCAGUUCCAUGCUGUCCGAAUGCACAAAAAUGGGUUCUAGGAACUGUCAAGUUCCUACAAUGUGAAAGAGCUUAUUCAGUAGUGAUGUAGUUUACACAAACAAGUCAGCAAUUGCUAUUGCUGAAGUGAAAAAGGCACCAAAGUGACUGACAAAAAGUAUAAUGUGUUUCUCAUACACAUACUAGUUGACCUCAUUUACUAGUAGGCCUACAUAUCACCAAUUUCACUGGGAAGUGUCAACUGGUUAGUGGCGCAAGCAGGUUGGUGUCAGAUUAUCAUGCAAGCAGUUUAAAGGGACACCAGGCAAGCCUGAUGCUUUUUCUCUAAGAAACUCCCCCUCGCUCGGUCUGAAGCUCUUUUCCUUU